AGAGUCCCAGGAACCUCCUAAACUGCUGAAGAAGAGGCGCAGGAUAGAGCCUGAGAGUUUAAGUUCCUAUGAAAGCAGAACCUGAAAGGAAGACUUGAGUUAAUUUAAGAGGUGAUCACGGUGAACAGAAGUGAUGGAAUCAGAAGAAUAAAACAGAAAAUCCAAUAAAGUUGGAUUAUGAGCUGGCUACCACUGAGAUUCACUGGGGUUCAGUCCUGCUGAGGAUUCUUUGAGUAAAUUAAUAGAGAAUGCCUUAUAUUGUCUCACCAAAGGACAAUUGAGUUGAUACACUUAUCUACUUCUUCUCAUCCCUCAUUAGUUGAGGGCUGCUGCCAGCUGUGUCAACACCUUCAAAAGUCUGAACUAUUUGUGCAUAAGCUAAAUGGGCUUUUGCAGUGUUGGGAAAAGCCCAGAGUCAGAAGAACAGAAAGACACUGUGGUCUGCAGUUGAGAAGGGAUGCCGGCAUUGCCCAUGAAAUGUGCAUGAAAUGUUGGCAUUGAACUAUGGCUGCACAAAAUCAGGUGGGUCAAGCAAAUUAACACAAUGCAUUACCAGCAUCAUCUUCAAAUUUAUAGUGAAACUUCUCAUUUGAUCUUUCAUAUCUCUUGGCUUCAUUUCUAUAUUUUUCAUUGCUUUUUAGCUCUGAGCCUCAUAUGUGGCAGUUUCCUCAGAUUUCUAUUCUCAUUUGUUGAUUUUCUAUUUAGCUGUGUGUAAAUAGCUCAUCUUUCUCAUAAUAGCAUUUUCUUAUAGUUUCAUCUUUCACAUGUUUAUUUGCUUGCUUUCACAUUGUACCAUUAUCUCAGUAUCUUUGGCAGUAAUCCUGCUAUUCAUUGUGCCUACUGGCUAUCAUGGCAAGAUAUUUUUCUAUGUGUUUUGUG
RNAcentral lists this long non-coding RNA (879 nucleotides) under Pan troglodytes (chimpanzee). RNAcentral describes it as "long non-coding RNA NONPTRT016565". Lineage: Eukaryota; Metazoa; Chordata; Mammalia; Primates; Hominidae. The record is from RNAcentral.